UGUAUGUACAUGAGCGGAGGAUCACAUCUGUAGCACUGGUUAACGGUUACGGCUCAGGGCGCGGCCAAGUCUGUCUCAAGUCUGCCUGCCACGGAGCUGUGUGCACAUGAGCGCAGGAUCACAUCUGUAGCACUGGUAAGCUAACCGUUUAUUUUCUUCAAACUUCAAUUAUAACACGGUGUGUUGUCAGGACAAUACUAACUUCUGUUUGUGAUUGAGUGCAUUUUGCAGCAAAACGUUUAUGUUCUGCAUUGCAUAAGUGUUUUUUCAAAUGUGUUGGCGCGAACUGCAAGCAAACAACGGUGUGUUGUCAGGACAAUACUAGCUUCUGUUUGUGAUUGAGUGCAUUUUGCAGUCAUAGUUAUAACGUCUACUGACCGGGAGUUAAUUUAAAUAGUCUGGUAACGUUAUUGAAGUAUCAUGCUAAAAGCUGAACUCUUUAUUUUCGUUUAAUUCAUGCUGUUGUGAAGUGGGGGGUUUGAAGCUACAUCUGAGGGGGUUCAAAGUUAACUGGCAGUCUACUUUUUUCUGUUCUUUCUGCCACUUCUUUCUCUCUUUUCUGUCUAAUUUGAGACGUUUAUGUUGCACAAUCUUUUUUGUUACUGUAAGCUCGUAAAGGGCUAGUUUGGAUGCUUAUGGAUACUUAUCCAUAGUCAGUGUAUUACUUGCAUGUCUUUGGAGGAACAGGCAGGAGUACGGGUACGUAUGUAAAGCUGUGGAUGGGUGCAGCAGCGAAACGUAUUUUAGCCACCUAAAAAUUCAGUUUACGUGUACGCUAUAUUUAUAAUAUUGUCACAAAUGUACCCUGCUGCUUCAGUCCCUAUCAGAAACAGACUGUAUAGCUGUCUGACAGAAAGGUAGAGCUUUGAAAAUAUUCUUUAAUAUAGCAUACACUAAGAGUAAUAUUGUUUUAGUUUUUUUGGUGGCUUAACUAUGUCCACAGCAGUGCAUUGCUUAGCUGUCUGCUGGUUCUCCUCUCUGUUUCUCCAAACUGUAGCUCCUACAACCCCCCUUCAAACAAUAUGAACUAUCCCCUAAAAGCAAGUCAAAUUGACAUUACAUUUAUCUCCCCUUAACCUGCAAAUACACAUACAUACAUUUUUGUAUUGAUGGUGAGCAAUUUAACAGACCUUAAAAUGUGUGCUAAAAUUGUUUUGUGAAAUAUUUCAGGAAGACAAGUCUUGUUUUAAUUUAGUUUGAAUUGUGUUUUUCUUCUUUUUUAGGACGAUCAUGCUAUUCUUCAAGGCGAUUCAUGCUGAGUGUGGAUCGAAACAUAGUACAGGACAACAUCCCCUCCUUGGUUUCUGCCCUGUCCAUGAUGUUUGGGAGCUAUUAUUGCUUCAACAUCGCCUACAUCCACCCUGGAGUUUGUCCAGAGGUGUUUUUUCUCCAUCAACCCAGAGAAGGGCACCAAAGUGGAGAAGACACGUGCAUCCCGUCUUCAGGUGAACCCGAGAGUCCUCACCUUGAUACAGGAACUUUCGGACCAUGAGUGGCGUGAUGUCUGAAUAUGGACAGUAAGAUCAAUGGCAUGUAGCGAUGUGCCCAAGUUACAGUUUCUUUGAUUGUUUAAAUCGUAGUUAAAAUUUGAAGUGCCUUUUUUUUCCAUGUUCUUUUAACUAAUUUAAAAAAAUGCAAUAUGUAACUCUCAAAAUGUCAAACUAUUCUUUUAAGGUCAUUGUAAAAGCUCAGGACAUCACUGUUGAGUGUAAAAAUGUUGAUGUGUUACACUCCACUGGGUGGUUUUGUUUUGUUUUCCACUUGGGUUUUUGCUUCUGAAGUGAAGGGUCUCUGCUGACCCUACCUCUUCACCUAUCUCACUUA
Trematomus bernacchii (emerald rockcod) is the source of this 1824-nucleotide long non-coding RNA. RefSeq lists it as uncharacterized. The record is from RefSeq and is a predicted model, not a curated record. Lineage: Eukaryota; Metazoa; Chordata; Actinopteri; Perciformes; Nototheniidae. The transcript has 3 exons.